UUGCACGCUGGCGGCAGGCCUCACCCAUGCCAUUCGAGCGGAUGAAGGGAGCUUGCUCCUGGAUUCAGCGGCGGACGGGUGAGUAAUGCCUAGGAAUCUGCCUGGUAGUGGGGGAUAACGUCCGGAAACGGGCGCUAAUACCGCAUACGUCCUGAGGGAGAAAGUGGGGGAUCUUCGGACCUCACGCUAUCAGAUGAGCCUAGGUCGGAUUAGCUAGUUGGUGGGGUAAAGGCCUACCAAGGCGACGAUCCGUAACUGGUCUGAGAGGAUGAUCAGUCACACUGGAACUGAGACACGGUCCAGACUCCUACGGGAGGCAGCAGUGGGGAAUAUUGGACAAUGGGCGAAAGCCUGAUCCAGCCAUGCCGCGUGUGUGAAGAAGGUCUUCGGAUUGUAAAGCACUUUAAGUUGGGAGGAAGGGCAGUAAGUUAAUACCUUGCUGUUUUGACGUUACCAACAGAAUAAGCGCCGGCUAACUUCGUG
RNAcentral lists this ribosomal RNA (483 nucleotides) under uncultured bacterium. RNAcentral's name for it is "partial 16S ribosomal RNA". It matches the Rfam family "Bacterial small subunit ribosomal RNA", at positions 30 to 507 of the family's 1533-position model. The record is from RNAcentral.